This 78-nucleotide transfer RNA is filed under the name Malaciobacter halophilus. RNAcentral's name for it is "Arcobacter halophilus tRNA-Thr". It matches the Rfam family "tRNA". Rfam says of the family: Transfer RNA (tRNA) molecules are approximately 80 nucleotides in length. Their secondary structure includes four short double-helical elements and three loops (D, anti-codon, and T loops). Lineage: Bacteria; Pseudomonadati; Campylobacterota; Epsilonproteobacteria; Campylobacterales; Arcobacteraceae. The record is from RNAcentral. RNAcentral also lists the same sequence under 11 other names.
GCUGGUGUAGCUCAGCUUGGCUAGAGCAGCUGAUUUGUAAUCAGCAGGUCGGGGGUUCGAGUCCCUUCACCAGCUCCA